AGGGAAGUAACUAACCCUAACGCGGAUUGACGGGCCUGGGCGGAGGGUGGGUGGGAGGGGCGGCGGAGACCUCGGCCCCUCCUCUUGCCUGCUCAUUAGUGUGCCUCGCUCGCUGGCAGCAGCCCCACCGCCCGGCAGCCCCACCGCCCGGCAGCCCCACCGCCCGGCAGCCCCGCCGCGGGGACAGAGCGUGCUGAGCCCACGAGCCCGCCGCCAGUCCCUCCGCCAGCAGGUCACUCCAGAAAAAUGAGGAUAUUUAGUGUCUUUGCAUUUAUGGCCCACUGCCAUUUGCUGAAAGCAUUUACGAUCGCAGUUUCCAAGGAACUGUAUGUGGUGGAGUACGGCGGCAAUGUGACCAUGGAGUGCAAAUUCCCAAUAGAAAAACAGUUAAACCUGCUUGCACUAAUCGUCUACUGGGAAAUGGAGGAUAAGAAAAUUAUCCAGUUUGUGAACGGGAAAGAAGACCUGCAAGUUCAGCACAGCAGCUACAGCCAGAGGGCCCAGCUGCUGAAGGACCAGCUCUUCUUGGGCAAGGCCGCGCUUCAGAUCACAGACGUGAAGUUGCAGGAUGCGGGGGUUUACUGCUGUUUGAUUGGCUAUGGCGGUGCUGACUACAAGCGGAUUACUUUGAAAGUUCAUGCCCCAUACCGCAGAAUCAACCAAAGAAUUUCUGUGGAUCCUGUCACCUCUGAACACGAACUAAUGUGUCAGGCUGAGGGUUACCCUGAGGCUGAAGUCAUCUGGACAAGCAGCGACCAUCAAGUCCUGAGUGGCAAAACCACCAUCACUAAUUCCAACGGGGAAGAGAAGCUUUUCAAUGUGACCAGCACGCUGAGAAUCAACACAACAGCUAAUGAGAUUUUCUAUUGCACUUUUCGAAGAUCAGGUCCUGAGGAAGACAGAAACAAUACUGCUAAGUUGGUCAUCCCAGAACCACUUCCAGUUCCAUCAAAUGAGAGGACUCACGUCAUGGUUCUGGGAGCUGUCCUGGUGUUUCUUGGUGUAAUCCUGGCAGUCAUUUUCUGUCUAAAGAGAAAUGGUAUUUCCUUUAUUGCAAUGGUCUCCACUGGAAAAUGAUGGAUGUGGAAAAAUGUGUCACCGGAGACAGGAACUCAAAGAAACAAAAUGCAAGUAUGAGUUAUGCCUGUCGUCAUCAGUCUCCAGAGAUACAAUUUGAAGAGACAUAAUCCAGCAUUGAAACUCCUGAUCUUAAAAGCAGGGAUUCUCUGGCUGUGGUUUGAGUGUGGCAGAGCAAUGCAUGACCAGAGCAGCGCCAUGGGCCAGGCAAGCUGCAGAUGAUGCAGGACUUCCAGGCCCAAGCACUCAACUGUGGAAGCUGGGAGAGAAGAGGAAGAGAACAAAGCAAGAAGGAGCAGAGCGGGUAGGCUGCAAGGUCCUUCAAAACAACUGGGAGACUCACGGGCACCUAAGGGAGAGAGAAGGGACGCUUCUGAAAGAUGAGCCCCCGUGCAAAUCGCCCAUCGCUCAUCCGAGGAAAACAAGUUGCAAUUCCCUGAUAAUUUAAUGGUCAGUUCCUGCAGAAGUGCCCUUUGCCUUCACUCAGUGUCUCUGCUUGUCGUCUGUGUGACUGAGAGUCCCAGUGUUACAACAGUAUUUAAGUAUGGGAUUUUUAUCUAUUUUGAGUCUUUGGAGUCUUGUCAUGUGAGUGUGGUCGUGAAUGAUUUCUUUUGAAGAUAUACUGUAGCAGAAGUUAGAAUUUUGUCACGGAACUAAAUUUACUGCUUAGUGAGUUGUGCAUGCUCAGUAAAAUGUGUAGUAUUGAUGAGGUACUUAGUAUCCUCCACAGCUACCAGGACAUAGGAAGCGUAGAGAGCAGACCCGUGGUUUAUAUAGGAUAUUACCUUGUUUAACCCACCAGUACUUUGGUUGACUCGAAUAAUCUUAUUCUCAGACCCUAAGGUAAGAUAUGUUACUGCAGCAUCUGUUCCAUUUUAAAUGUCAGCGUUAACAACUAUGUGGCAUCCUACACACAGAAUCUCAUUUAAUGCCUGGGAUAGCUAUGUUGUGGUAAGCACUGUUAUCAUACCCAUUUCGCAGCUGAGGGAGCAGAGAGCUAAAGUAACUCGCCUGAGUCAGUAAAUAGCAGAUCUCAGAUUUCUACAACUGUCACUCACUGUCCUUUUAGGAUAUAGUCUAGAGCUGUGUUUUGCUUUAAGAAAUUCAUUCAGCAAACAUUUAGGAAGCACCCAUGUCACUAGGCCAGGCAGUGACUGAGCAAGACAAAGAACCUCUCUUUUAGUAGCUCAUAGUAUCAUGGGGGAGACUGAAAAGGAAAUUCAUUAUUACAGCUUAGUGCAGUAACAUGACAUAAGGUGUUGGAGGAGAAAGAUGGCGUGAAGAGGAGAGACUAGAAAGGCUCCCUAAGGGAGGGCAUGCCCUGGGCAGUACGUCAGGGUGUUCCUUUGAAGUUCAAAAUACAUUUUUUAAAAUAUUUUAUUUAUUUAUUUGAGAGAGGGAAACAGAGAAAGAGAGAGCAUGAGCAGGGGAGAGAGGCAGAGGCAGAGAGGAAAGUAGACUCCCUAUUGAGCAGGGAUCCCAACAUGGGGCUCAAUCCCAGGACUGUUCGAUCACAACCCCAGCUGAAGACAGACACUUAGCCAUCUGAGCCACCCAGGCACCCCCAAAAAACAUUUUAAUCAAACUGAUUUCAGUUUAUGAGGACAAGUCAGUAUUUUUUUUAAUUGUGGAAAAUAACUCUUGAGCUCCUUUUCUAUCAUUGUAUUUAUGUUUGAUUUAUUUGCCUCUGCCAUGCAAUCUGGUGUUUAUAUAUAUGGUGUUGUUAUUGUUCAGCAGUUCUCUCUUUUUUUAUUUAAGUGCUGCUAAAAUUUGAAUUCAUACCUUUCUAUGAUUCAAAAUGCAGAAGGUCCAAGAGGAGACAUUAAAAAGUCCUCAUUCCAUCUUCCUAGCCAUCAGUUUUCCUUUCCAGAAGCAGCUGCUCUUGCCUUUUGUUCUUGUAAUCUUCUAAAGAUAUUUGAUAAUAUAUGUAGAAACAUAUAUAAAAGGUAUAUUUUUAUUCACAUAAAUGGUAACACACUAUUUGCCUGCUGUGCACUUUGCUAUUUUUAUUUACUGUAUUAUUUCUCAUGGGGCUGUUGGAACAAAUGUGAAGUUCCCAGAGGCCAGACACUAUCUCUUAUUUAUGUCUAGAUCAGCUUUUCCAUAGCCUGUUAGUAUCUUUUAUGACUUAGUACAUGCUAAAUAUGUACUUCAUUGACGUUUGGAUGACAAGUAAUUGUUGACUGAUUGCUGUAUGACUGAGUUUGGAUUUGGUUUAUUUUGCAUUCCUCAUAGUGAGACCAUUGGGUUCUCCAGGGUACCCUGGGUCGACCUGGUCCUAAAAAAGGCUGACUUUAUUACUAAUUCUAUAUGACAGAAUCAUGUCUGGAACUUCUGUUUUUUUCCUAUCUGUUUUCUCUUGAGUAAAAACUAGACUUUGAUAUUGUAUUCGCAAAAUGAUAGGAGUGGGUGUUGUGUUGUGUUUUGUUUUGUUUUGUUUUUUGGAAAUUUCAGUAAUGUACCUUGACUCCUACCUGUGCUAGAAAAGGCCAUGAACUGUGCCCAAACCCCUGAGUCCUACCAGUUCUCAUCACUACAUAGAUCUAAGAUGUUGCAUUUCAAAGGCUUUGAGGUUCCUAUGCCUCCCAGGAGGAGGCAUAUUCCAGCAUAUUCCUGCUCUCUUGGCCAUUUACCUGGGUUAUGGACAAAUAGAACCUUUGUUUUGUCACCUGUCAAGGCUGAGGAAACAGAAUCUCCGACAGAACUCCUUCUGUUGUCUUUUUGUUCAUGUUCAUCUGUACAGCAUCCCUUGUUUGCAUGACGAUAUCCUUUGUGUGAAGUGUAAGGGAGGAUUCUGGGUGAGCCAGAGUACACUCUAUUCACUCCAUUCCUAAAUGUUAAUGUCUCUUAUGUGUUGGAUUUGGAAGGCACUUUAUCCCCUUGUCUUGUGUUUCACUCUAAAUGGCUUGGCAGAGAGGCUAUUUAGUUCUACAUUUUAAUUGUCAUUGUUUACACUUGCAUUAAUUUAAUAAAAUAUUCUUAUUUAUUUUGUUCCUUGGU
Molecule: RNA transcript, 4077 nt
Organism: Lutra lutra (Eurasian river otter)
Lineage: Eukaryota; Metazoa; Chordata; Mammalia; Carnivora; Mustelidae
Gene: CD274
Gene name: CD274 molecule
Exons: 7
Source: RefSeq, a predicted model, not a curated record